RNAcentral lists this ribosomal RNA (335 nucleotides) under Exodromidia spinosa. RNAcentral's name for it is "partial 12S ribosomal RNA". The record is from RNAcentral. Lineage: Eukaryota; Metazoa; Arthropoda; Malacostraca; Decapoda; Dromiidae.
AAAUAUUAAUAGUUAUGUUCUUGAAAUUUAGAGAAUUUGGCGGUGUUUUAGUCUGUUUAGAGGAACCUGUUUCGUAAAUGAUAAACCUCAAAAUAUCUUACUUGUUGUAGUAGUUUGUAUACCGUCAUUAUUAGAUAAUUUUUACAGAAAAAAUUAUUACAAUAUGGGGUGUCUUAGGAUAUUAGAUCAAGGUGCAGCCAAUGGACAAGAGAGAAUGGGUUACAGUAAGAUUUACUUACAACGGAGUGGGUUUUUGCAAACGACCAUGAAGGUGGAUUUAAUUGUAAUGCGAGUUUAACAAGCUUCCAUGAUAUUAGCUCUAAAUUGUGUACACA